UCUAUGUUUUAGAUUCUCAUUAAUCGGCCCGUUGCUAUUAACCGAUUCAGCGCUGAACUCAUUAGUAUAUCAAUAAACGCAGCAACAAGCGUUAUAUUUGAUAUACAUAUAGACCAGUUUAAUAGAAUUAUACAAAUGUUGGUAUUUUAAAUCCGCUAAUCUCACAAAAUCAGCUCAGUUUGAGAAAUGAAAGUAAGUAAAUUAAUCAAACAGAAAAGAAAAUAUCAACAUGAUUUAUCAUAACUCAGUUGCUUUAUGCAGAGACCAUUCUAGUUUGUGCAGAUCCAAAGUGCUUGCUCCAUUUAUAUUACUAGGUACAAUACCUAUAUUAUUAAACCAAUAAUUUUUCCUCGAACGUUUGAUUAGAGCUAAACACAUAUUGAUUUUAUCUCCAAAAACAAAAUCAAUAUUUUUGAGAAUG
Molecule: non-coding RNA, 421 nt
Organism: Pelobates cultripes (western spadefoot toad)
Lineage: Eukaryota; Metazoa; Chordata; Amphibia; Anura; Pelobatidae
Source: the annotation of a GenBank genome assembly